Molecule: ribosomal RNA, 430 nt
Filed under: Acidobacteriota bacterium
Lineage: Bacteria; Pseudomonadati; Acidobacteriota
Description: Acidobacteria bacterium partial 16S ribosomal RNA
Rfam family: Bacterial small subunit ribosomal RNA
Source: RNAcentral
UGGGGAAUAUUGGACAAUGGGCGCAAGCCUGAUCCAGCCAUGCCGCGUGUGUGAAGAAGGCCUUUUGGUUGUAAAGCACUUUAAGCGAGGAGGAGGCUACUUGGAUUAAUACUCUAAGAUAGUGGACGUUACUCGCAGAAUAAGCACCGGCUAACUCUGUGCCACCAGCCGCGGUAAUACAGAGGGUGCGAGCGUUAAUCGGAUUUACUGGGCGUAAAGCGUGCGUAGGCGGCUUCUUAAGUCGGAUGUGAAAUCCCUGGGCUUAACUUAGGAAUUGCAUUCGGUACUGGGAAGCUAGAGUAUGGGAGAGGGUGGUAGAAUUCCAGGUGUAGCGGUGAAAUGCGUAGAGAUCUGGAGGAAUACCGAUGGCGAAGGCAGCCAUCUGGCCUAAUACUGACGCUGAGGUACGAAAGCAUGGGGAGCAAACAGG